This 497-nucleotide ribosomal RNA is filed under the name uncultured bacterium. RNAcentral describes it as "partial 16S ribosomal RNA". It matches the Rfam family "Bacterial small subunit ribosomal RNA", at positions 28 to 507 of the family's 1533-position model. The record is from RNAcentral.
GAUGAACGCUGGCGGCGUGCCUAAUACAUGCAAGUCGAGCGAACACACAAGGAGCUCGUUCUCCUGACGUUAGCGGCGGGCGGGCGAGUAACGCAUGGAUCACAUACCUCUAAGUCGUGGAUAACUUCGGAAAGCCAGAUCCAAUACCACAGCAUAUAAUGUACCGCUUGAUUCAAUAGAGAAUGGCACUUUUGCCGUUACUAAUAGCUGGUUCCGGGUCGCAUUAGCUAGUUGGUAAGGUAACGGCUUGCCAAGGCAACGAUGCGUAGCCGACCUGAGAGGGUGAUCGGCCACACUGGAACUGAGACACGGUCCAGACUCCUACGGGAGGCAGCAGUGGGGAAUAUUGGACAAUGGGCGAAAGCCUGACGGAGCAACGCCGCGUGAGUGAUGAAGGUCUUCGGAUCGUAAAGCUCUGUUAUUGGGAAAGAACAGAUGUGUAAGUAACUCUGCACGUCUUGACGGUACCUAAUCAGAAAGCCACGGCUAACUACGUG